RNAcentral lists this long non-coding RNA (2430 nucleotides) under Olea europaea subsp. europaea. The record is from RNAcentral. Lineage: Eukaryota; Viridiplantae; Streptophyta; Magnoliopsida; Lamiales; Oleaceae.
UCUACAAGUUAUCUUCCUUUUCUUCAUUUAGUUCCUAAACUUGAAAUUUUAGCCUUGCAGAUUUUGAGAUAUUUCCUGAAUUGAAUGAGUCUGCAAGUGAUGGACAUUCAAUGGAUGGACAAGACUCCGGUUCAGACAAGGACCCAGAUUUCGUCGAUUUUUGAGAAUGAGUUGGACUCCGAAGGGAGGAUAGUUAGGACUGGACAACUUCCGAACCGAAUCGAAUCUGACGGUUCUUCUCAAAUUAAAUACCCAAACGGAUAUUUGAAUCAAGAACCGACGAGUACGGUUCGGUUCUGAUUCUAGGCCAAGACUCGAAUCUCCUUAAUUUUUUAAUUUAUUUAUUUUAAAUAAGUAAAAUUAUUUUAUUUUUUCUAAAUAAAUUUGUUAACUAGUUAAUUUUGUUCAAAUCACAAAAUAUGAUUUUUCUAUUUCUAAUUUUCAAUUCAAAAUCAACUUAAUCAAAUUGACCUCAAUUUUAUCUAAAUCUUAUUUUAUUUUUUCUAAAUAAAUUUGUUAACUAGUUAAUUUUGUUCAAACCACAAAAUAUGAUUUUUCUUAUUUUUAAUUUUCAGUUUAAAAUCAACUUAAUCAAAUUGACUUCAAUUUUAUCCAAAUCUGUUACUCUAUUGUAGUGCCGUUUCUAUUUGAGAAAAUUAAAUUAAAGUUCUACAACAUCUCUCUUAAUUAUUUUGAACUCGCUAUCUUUUCUUUCUGUGAUUUUAAUAAUUAAAUUUAUGAUGAAUUCAACAAAGAGAGACUGUUGACAGGAGACAUUGAAAUUGGUAUAGGGAGUUGUUGGACAAUGAUGACAAAUCGACAAAGGGGCUUCAAAAUGUGCAGACUAUUCCCGGAGGCUAAGCACAGAUUUUGUGUAAGACAUUUAUUAAAUUUAUUCGGUGUACUAAAAGAUUUUCUCUAGUAGGCAGCCAAGUCCACAACUAUUGUAGACCACAAACAAUGGAGGCAGCAAAUCAGGCAAUUGAGUGAAGAUCUUUCCUUUGAUUGAUGGAACGACCCCCCUCAAGGAAUGGAUCAAGUGAUAUUUUCAGGUGUAUACCAAAUGCAACAUUUUGUUGAACAACGGAUCUGAGGUUUUCAACAAGACACUUCUAGAGGAUCGGGACAAAAUGAUUCCUAAUAUGUUUGACUUUUAUUCAGUUGACCUAUGUGCAAAGAAUACAGUGGAGGCGGGAUAAAAUGAGGAAUCAUGCUGGCUGACUUUAUCCGAAGAUAAGAAAAAGGGUGCAGUAGGUGGUUGAAUGUGUUGUGCACUUAUCUAGUGGUUCCAAAUGGCAAGUGGAGUGUAGUUAUAGAACAUUUGUGAUUGACCUAGAGGAUGGAAGAUGUGCAUGUAAAAAGUGGGAGUUGACUGGCAUUCUAUACCUUCGUGCGAUGGCCGUGAUCCGCAAGUGUCGAAAUGAAAUUGAAGGCUAUGUUGACAACUGUUAUACGAUAGAUUCGUACUUGAACUAUUACAGGAGUAUUUUGAACCCAAUCAACAAGCCAAGGUUGUGGCCAAAGGUGAAUGCGAAGCCAAUUAAUCUACCAAAACGGACAGUGAAUAAGAAAGGGUGAAGACAAACCAAGAGAAAGAAGUAAGCGGAGGAAGUAGUGAUGCAUAUGCAGGACAAGUCUUGUGUUGCGGAAAAAGACCAUGUGAACAUGAUGUGCUCAGUUUGUGGUGUUGUGGACACAACACAGGACAUCAUUCCUCAGCACCCGUUGUGUUGGAUGUGAGUAAACUACAUUUAUUUCUUCUGUAAUUUAAUUUCUUGAUUCGUGUUUUAGGACUUGUUCAAUGCCCCAUUGGAAGAACUGGGAUCUCAACAAAACCAAUGAGUGUAAGUUAGUAGCUCACAAGCACACCUGCAUGUCAAAAAUUUUGCUUCUUUUCUCAUAUUUGUAGUUCAAUGCUGUAGGGAAGUUGUCUGCCAACAGGGAAAAUCGUCCAUCAACUAGUCGGACACCAGCAACAUAUCAUGUACAUGACAUAACUGACUAGCCACAGGCGUGAAAUCUGGACGAAAUGGUAGGCAAUUUUCAGGAUGCAGAAGAUGUUGAAGCUUCACAGUUUAGGGCAGCUAGAGUGUAUUCCUGAUGAUAUGCGAAGAUGUCUACAGCUACGUCUCGCUGAAGCUGAAUGUGCAUGGAUGUAGAUUGGAGACGGUGAAGCAUAACAUUCCUUGAAGCUUGUUUAUUUUGAUAGUAGUGAAUAGGUUAUCUGUGCAACUGGAACUUUGGGUUGCUUUUGGGGUUGGAAAAUCGUAAGCAGGCUUAGAAUUUUUUGGGAUGAGAAAUGGGUUGGAAAGUGGGAUUUUUUUUUUAUUUUUUUAUUUUUAUCGAAAGAAUGUUUUGAGUGAUAUGGAACGAUAUCAUAUUGUUAUAAUGAUCUUAACAGUAAUACUAACGUAUGUUGCCAUCUUUCAG